RNAcentral lists this ribosomal RNA (444 nucleotides) under uncultured bacterium. Its description in RNAcentral is "partial 16S ribosomal RNA". It matches the Rfam family "Bacterial small subunit ribosomal RNA", at positions 338 to 795 of the family's 1533-position model. The record is from RNAcentral.
CCUACGGGAGGCUGCAGUGGGGAAUAUUGGGCAAUGGAGGUAACUCUUACCCAGCAAUGCCGCGUGAAUGAAGAAGGUCUUCGGAUUGUAAAGUUCUUUAAUUGGGGACGAAAAAAAUGACGGUACCCAAGGAAUAAGCCCAGGCUAACUACGUGCCAGCAGAAGCGGCAAUACGGAGGGGGCAAGCGUUGGUCGGAAUGACUGGGCGUAAGGGGUGUGUAGGCGGUGUAGCAAGUUAGAAGUGAAAUACCUAGGGCUUAACACAGGGUCUGCUUCUAAAACUGCUAGACUUGAGUGCAGGAGAGGAAAGCGGAAGGCCUAGUGUAGCGGUGAAAUGCGUAGAUAUUAGGAGGAACAGCAGUGGCGAAGGCGGCUUUCUGGACUGUAACUGACGCUGAGGCACGAAAGUGUGGGGAGCAAACAGGAUUAGAUACCCUAGUAGUC